Molecule: long non-coding RNA, 2418 nt
Filed under: Homo sapiens (human)
Lineage: Eukaryota; Metazoa; Chordata; Mammalia; Primates; Hominidae
Description: HSALNT0290434
Source: RNAcentral
CGCUGCGCCAUGAGCAAAGUCUGCGGCCCCUCACUCGGCGCGGCUCCGGGAACACUGGGGCGGGGGUGGGUGAUUCAGUCCCCCACCCCCGGGUGUCCUGACUCCCUGGUGGCCCUGGGCUGACAGCUCCACACCUUGGGAGGCCGCACCCCCACCUGCCGCAUUUCCUCGUUCUGAGUCACCCUUGCUCAGAACGCUUGACUUUGGGACUUCCUGUCCGCACUCGCGGCCCCUAACCUGCCCCGGGAGCCCGGGAGUGCGGCUUGGGAAGGAGGGAAAGGAGUGUGUGAGCAGGGAUUGGCCCGAACCUAUCUCCACGCUCUCCCCCGGGACUGGAGGUGAAGGGGGGCGUGGAGAAAAUCUCAGGGAACAGGGGCUUCGACAGGGGGCUCCCGCCCGCCCGAGCCCCCUCCCCAAAAUGCGAGGCCUGCACAGUAUGCCUUCUCCGCAAAACCUCGGCAAGCGGGUUAGUGAAUUCAGGUCACUAAGAAGCUGAGCCCGCGGAAAGCUGCCCAAACACCCCCUUCUCUAGGGGACUCCCCACGCCCCCCGCCGGGACGCGUUCCCGAAGUCGCCGCCUGGACUGCAACCGCGUGGCCUGCGCCGCGUCCUCUUCUCCGCAGCCUCCGAGGCCCGUGCGACCAAGCUGAAACCGCUUAUUCUCCGGAGCCCCUAUGACCCCGGGUGGGGGCCAGGGCUCGCCUCGAUCGCAGCCCGUGCGCCCUCCGGACUCCAGUUCGCCGGGACUGGGCGACACCAGAAGCGGCUAGUGUGAGUGAAACAAACGGGAAAUUUGCUCUGGCCCGCCUGCCCAGCCACCCACGGCUGCCUGUUGGCCAAUCACCAUUUGACCAGUCCAGGAAGAGCAACUGUGGCAGGCCUGAUUUCCUGGGAGGCCCCAGACUCCCUUUGCCUACCUCUUCCUCUCUGACCCCAUCCUCGCUUUGAUGCCCGGGACCUGCUACCCAGAAACAACGUGAGGCUCAGAGAGAAGAAAUGACUAAAAUUACACAGCUGGUACAUGGCAGAGGUGGAACUAAAAAGUUAAGUGUGUCUACCCCAGAGCCGAGUAGACCUGCUCUUUUUUGAACACUUCCUGGACUUUCAUGCCUUUGUCCCAGCUGUGCCCUCUCCCUGGAUGCCCCUUCCAUCUGGGCAGCUCCUACUAGACCUGCCUUGGCAUACAUAACACAGGAGAACGGAUUGCCAAAGGGUAGGAGAGUGCCUGGUCUAUAGUGUGCGCCCAACACAGAUUUGGUGAAUGAAUGAACACUGGGUCCAGCAGACCUGGAUUCUUCCAUGUAACCCACUGUGUGGCCUUGGUGGAGCCAUGCGGGUGCAAUAAUCCUGGUUUCCACCCUUCAGGGCUGCUGCUGGGACUCAGUGAGAUCAUCAUGUAUCUAAUGCCCUUUGCUCAGUGCUGGGCACACAGUCAAUGCGCAUUGAAUCUUAGCUAUUGCUACCUUUACAAUCAAUCAAAAGUCACUUCUGAAGAAUAGACAGGGCUCCCCCAGGCCAAAUAAAUAAUUCCUCCCGGGACAAACCCCAGCUCUCACUCCCUCCUCUUUAGGCAGGGGGCUCCCUGAAGGACAGAGACCCGGUUUUAUUCCAUCUUGCCGUCCCCCAUGGUGCCGGGCAUACAGUGGUGCCCAGUAAACGUGUGUGUUGCACAAACAUGCGGUAACUAGGGCCCCAUCUUUUUCAAAAGAACACACUCCCCAGGUGCAGCCGCAAAGAGAGACUGUUCAGCUGUUCAGGUGAGGUUUUGGGGUGAAACUCGUCUGAAUAAUAGUUUUACUGAACACAGCCUCACCCCCAACAAGGAGGCAAUUUGAGGUGGGGGUGGGGAGACUUAAAUGUGGGCUCCCGGGUUUUAAAGGGGGUAGCGCGGGAGGAAGCCCCCCAAUAAUUGCGGGGCUUCCCCCACCCCCAGAGCUGGAUUAGAGGCUGCGCCACUUCCUUUGGGGCUCGCUCGCGCUUCCUGGGAGCCUUUGAUGUGGGUUCUUGGUAGAUCCUGCCCGCGGGGCCUGGAUGCGGGCGGAGCCUCCGGGCAGGGCGGGGCCUCAGCCUGGGUCCGCACUGGGGAGGCGGCCACCCGGUAGCUUGGGCGGGUUCCGCCCACCUCCCGCCUGUAUUUACAGCCCCCUUCCAACAUCCCCGACUCCCUGAGGGCGCCCCUCAUUCUGCUCGGCCUUGCCUUCCCCAUUCGGCCACAUCCUCCUCUCUCCCAACUCAGCUUCGACCCCCAAAGCCUUUCCCUAACCAUCGGAACCACAGGCUUUUCUCCGGCCUCUGAGUGCCAGUCUUCAACUAGGUGUCUUUUAAAAAAUCAAAAAGCAUCUCAUCCUACGGGAUGUGUGUGAAAAAAUAAAAAUAAAAUAAAGAAAAAGGGGGCCGGGCGCGGGAGCUCACGCCUGU